This 115-nucleotide non-coding RNA is filed under the name Actinomyces sp. RNAcentral's name for it is "SAM-IV sequence". It matches the Rfam family "SAM (S-adenosyl methionine) riboswitch aptamer". Rfam says of the family: SAM-IV is a mRNA element that regulates gene expression via direct sensing of S-adenosylmethionine (SAM or AdoMet). SAM-IV riboswitches share conserved nucleotide positions with the previously described SAM-I riboswitches sequence analysis and molecular recognition experiments suggest that SAM-I and SAM-IV riboswitches share similar ligand binding sites, but have different scaffolds. RNAcentral also lists the same sequence under 1 other name. The record is from RNAcentral. Lineage: Bacteria; Bacillati; Actinomycetota; Actinomycetes; Actinomycetales; Actinomycetaceae.
GAUCAAGAAGUCCAACGUUAAGCCCCUCGGCUGGUUGGCUGGCAACCGCGUGUCGCACACGGUGCCCCUGAGGGAAGAUCCGCCGCUAAACAAAAGUUUGGUGGACGCGCGAUUU